AAGGAUCAUUACUGAAUUGUUAACAUGAGUUGUUGCUGGCCCCCCAAACGGAGGCAUGUGCACACUCUGUUUACACAUCCACUCACACCUGUGCACCCUCUGUAGUUCUGUGGCCUGGGUGACUCUGUCCCCUUGCUGUCGUUCUACAUUUUUACACACAUACACUGUAACAUAGUUUUGUGGAAUGUAUCCUGCAUAUUAUGCAACACAAUACAACUUUCAGCAACGGAUCUCUUGGCUCUC
Molecule: unclassified non-coding RNA, 243 nt
Filed under: uncultured fungus
Lineage: Eukaryota; Fungi
Description: partial contains 18S rRNA, ITS1, 5.8S rRNA, ITS2 and 28S rRNA
Source: RNAcentral